Molecule: ribosomal RNA, 270 nt
Filed under: uncultured bacterium
Lineage: Bacteria
Description: partial 16S ribosomal RNA
Rfam family: Bacterial small subunit ribosomal RNA
Source: RNAcentral
UACGGAGGGUGCAAGCGUUAAUCGGAAUUACUGGGCGUAAAGCGCGCGUAGUGGCUGCGUAAGUCGGAUGUGAAAGCCCCGGGCUUAACCUGGGAACUGCAUUCGAUACUGCGCGACUAGAGUAUGGUAGAGGGAAGCGGAAUUCCCGGUGUAGCGGUGAAAUGCGUAGAUAUGUGGAGGAACACCAAUGGCGAAGGCAGCCCCUCGGGCCGAUACUGACGCUCAUGCACGAAAGCGUGGGGAGCAAACAGGAUUAGAAACCCCUGUAGU